This 77-nucleotide transfer RNA is filed under the name Citrobacter phage CF1 ERZ-2017. Its description in RNAcentral is "tRNA-Thr". It matches the Rfam family "tRNA". Rfam says of the family: Transfer RNA (tRNA) molecules are approximately 80 nucleotides in length. Their secondary structure includes four short double-helical elements and three loops (D, anti-codon, and T loops). Further hydrogen bonds mediate the characteristic L-shaped molecular structure. tRNAs have two regions of fundamental functional importance: the anti-codon, which is responsible for specific mRNA codon recognition, and the 3' end, to which the tRNAs corresponding amino acid is attached (by aminoacyl-tRNA synthetases). tRNAs cope with the degeneracy of the genetic code in two manners: having more than one tRNA (with a specific anti-codon) for a particular amino acid; and 'wobble' base-pairing, i.e. permitting non-standard base-pairing at the 3rd anti-codon position. The record is from RNAcentral. Lineage: Duplodnaviria; Heunggongvirae; Uroviricota; Caudoviricetes; Pantevenvirales; Straboviridae.
GCCGGUUUAGCUCAGAGAGGCGGAGCAGCUCAUUUGUAAAGAGAAGGACGUAGGUUCAAGUCCUACAACCGGCACCA